This 1149-nucleotide ribosomal RNA is filed under the name Enterobacter roggenkampii. RNAcentral describes it as "bacterial SSU rRNA". Lineage: Bacteria; Pseudomonadati; Pseudomonadota; Gammaproteobacteria; Enterobacterales; Enterobacteriaceae. The record is from RNAcentral.
GGAAACGGUAGCUAAUACCGCAUAACGUCGCAAGACCAAAGAGGGGGACCUUCGGGCCUCUUGCCAUCAGAUGUGCCCAGAUGGGAUUAGCUAGUAGGUGGGGUAACGGCUCACCUAGGCGACGAUCCCUAGCUGGUCUGAGAGGAUGACCAGCCACACUGGAACUGAGACACGGUCCAGACUCCUACGGGAGGCAGCAGUGGGGAAUAUUGCACAAUGGGCGCAAGCCUGAUGCAGCCAUGCCGCGUGUAUGAAGAAGGCCUUCGGGUUGUAAAGUACUUUCAGCGGGGAGGAAGGCGKUGAGGUUAAUAACCUCAYCGAUUGACGUUACCCGCAGAAGAAGCACCGGCUAACUCCGUGCCAGCAGCCGCGGUAAUACGGAGGGUGCAAGCGUUAAUCGGAAUUACUGGGCGUAAAGCGCACGCAGGCGGUCUGUCAAGUCGGAUGUGAAAUCCCCGGGCUCAACCUGGGAACUGCAUUCGAAACUGGCAGGCUAGAGUCUUGUAGAGGGGGGUAGAAUUCCAGGUGUAGCGGUGAAAUGCGUAGAGAUCUGGAGGAAUACCGGUGGCGAAGGCGGCCCCCUGGACAAAGACUGACGCUCAGGUGCGAAAGCGUGGGGAGCAAACAGGAUUAGAUACCCUGGUAGUCCACGCCGUAAACGAUGUCGACUUGGAGGUUGUGCCCUUGAGGCGUGGCUUCCGGAGCUAACGCGUUAAGUCGACCGCCUGGGGAGUACGGCCGCAAGGUUAAAACUCAAAUGAAUUGACGGGGGCCCGCACAAGCGGUGGAGCAUGUGGUUUAAUUCGAUGCAACGCGAAGAACCUUACCUACUCUUGACAUCCAGAGAACUUAGCAGAGAUGCUUUGGUGCUCGCGAGAGCAAGCGGACCUCAUAAAGUGCGUCGUAGUCCGGAUUGGAGUCUGCAACUCGACUCCAUGAAGUCGGAAUCGCUAGUAAUCGUAGAUCAGAAUGCUACGGUGAAUACGUUCCCGGGCCUUGUACACACCGCCCGUCACACCAUGGGAGUGGGUUGCAAAAGAAGUAGGUAGCUUAACCUUCGGGAGGGCGCUUACCACUUUGUGAUUCAUGACUGGGGUGAAGUCGUAACAAGGUAACCGUAGGGGAACCUGCGGUUGGAUCACCUCCUUA